GGUCCGUUAGCUCAGGCGGUAAGAGCAUCAAUCUAUUGAAUCAUCGAAGGGCGGGGGUUCGAAUCCCUCACGGACCA
The sequence is a transfer RNA, 77 nucleotides long. It matches the Rfam family "tRNA". From Rfam's summary of the family: Transfer RNA (tRNA) molecules are approximately 80 nucleotides in length. The record is from Rfam.